RNAcentral lists this ribosomal RNA (721 nucleotides) under uncultured bacterium. Its description in RNAcentral is "bacterial SSU rRNA". It matches the Rfam family "Bacterial small subunit ribosomal RNA", at positions 789 to 1515 of the family's 1533-position model. The record is from RNAcentral.
GGUAGUCCACGCCCUAAACGAUGUCAACUAGCUGUCGGGGUCUUCGGACUUUGGUAGCGCAGCUAACGCGUGAAGUUGACCGCCUGGGGAGUACGGUCGCAAGAUUAAAACUCAAAGGAAUUGACGGGGACCCGCACAAGCGGUGGAUGAUGUGGAUUAAUUCGAUGCAACGCGAAAAACCUUACCUACCCUUGACAUGUCUGGAAUCCCGAAGAGAUUUGGGAGUGCUCGAAAGAGAACCGGAACACAGGUGCUGCAUGGCCGUCGUCAGCUCGUGUCGUGAGAUGUUGGGUUAAGUCCCGCAACGAGCGCAACCCUUGUCAUUAGUUGCUACGAAAGGGCACUCUAAUGAGACUGCCGGUGACAAACCGGAGGAAGGUGGGGAUGACGUCAGGUCCUCAUGGCCCUUAUGGGUAGGGCUUCACACGUCAUACAAUGGUCGGGACAGAGGGCAGCCAACCCGCGAGGGGGAGCCAAUCCCAGAAACCCGAUCGUAGUCCGGAUUGCAGUCUGCAACUCGACUGCAUGAAGUCGGAAUCGCUAGUAAUCGCGGAUCAGCAUGCCGCGGUGAAUACGUUCCCGGGUCUUGUACACACCGCCCGUCACACCAUGGGAGUGGGUUCUACCAGAAGUAGUUAGCCUAACCGCAAGGAGGGCGAUUACCACGGUAGGGUUCAUGACUGGGGUGAAGUCGUAACAAGGUAGCCGUAUCGGAAGGUGC